CCUACGGGAGGCAGCAGUGAGGAAUAUUGGUCAAUGGACGAGAGUCUGAACCAGCCAAGUCGCGUGAGGGACGACUGCCCUAUGGGUUGUAAACCUCUUUUAUAAGGGAAGAAAAAGAGGUACGUGUGGCAUGAUGCAUGUACCUUAUGAAUAAGGAUCGGCUAACUCCGUGCCAGCAGCCGCGGUAAUACGGAGGAUGCGAGCGUUAUCCGGAUUUAUUGGGUUUAAAGGGUUCGUAGGUGGGUUUUUAAGUCAGUGGUGAAAGUUUGGGGCCUUCCCGUUAAUUUGCAAUUCAUACUGGCAGUCUUGAGUUCAGUUGAGGUAGGCGGAAUCCGUUGUGUAGCGGUGAAAUGCUUAGAUAUCACUUAGAACCCCGAUUGCGAAGGCAGCUUACCAGACUGCGCCUGACGUUGAUGCACGAUAGUGUGGGUAUCGAACAGGAUUAGAUACCCUAGUAGUC
RNAcentral lists this ribosomal RNA (460 nucleotides) under uncultured bacterium. RNAcentral describes it as "partial 16S ribosomal RNA". It matches the Rfam family "Bacterial small subunit ribosomal RNA", at positions 338 to 795 of the family's 1533-position model. The record is from RNAcentral.